Molecule: ribosomal RNA, 253 nt
Filed under: uncultured bacterium
Lineage: Bacteria
Description: partial 16S ribosomal RNA
Rfam family: Bacterial small subunit ribosomal RNA
Source: RNAcentral
UACGAAGGGGGCUAGCGUUGCUCGGAAUCACUGGGCGUAAAGGGUGCGUAGGCGGGUCUUUAAGUCAGGGGUGAAAUCCUGGAGCUCAACUCCAGAACUGCCUUUGAUACUGAAGAUCUUGAGUUCGGGAGAGGUGAGUGGAACUGCGAGUGUAGAGGUGAAAUUCGUAGAUAUCGGGAGGAACACCUGUGGCGAAGGCGGCCCCCUGGUUGGAUACUGACGCUGAUACGCGAAAGCGUGGGGAGCAAACAGG